GAAUAAGCACCUGCUAACUCUGUGCCAGCAGCCGCGGUAAUACAGAGGGUGCAAGCGUUAUCCGGAUUUAUUGGGCGUAAAGCGUUUCGUAGGCGGUAAGGUAAGUUACACUUCAAAGGCCAGGGCUUAACCUUGGAAAGGGGUGUAAUACUGUCUUACUUGAAAUGUUUCGGGGUUAUCGGAACUCUCGGUGUAGGGGUGAAAUCCGUUGAUAUCGAGAGGAACACCAAGGGCGAAGGCAGAUAACUAGGAACCUUUUGACGCUGAGGAACGACAGCUAGGGGAGCGAAUGGGAUUAGAGACCCCAGUAGUCCUAGCCGUAAACUUUGCUCGCUAGUCCCCUCGGUUUUUCCGAGAGGGCGUAAGCUAACGCGUUAAGCGAGCCGCCUGGGGAGUACGGCCGCAAGGCUCCGCCUGGGGAGUACGGCCGCAAGGCUAAAACUCAAAGGAAUUGACGGGAACCUGCACAACCAGUGGAGCAUGUGGUUUAAUUCGAGACGAACCGAAGAACCUUACCAGGCUUUGACAUGCUACCGUUUUAACUUUCCAGAAAUGGAGAGCUAUCCGUAAGGAUGGUAGCACAGGUGUUGCAUGGCCGUCGUCAGCUCGUGCCGUGGGGUGUUCCCUUCAGUGGGGUAACGAGCGCAACCCCUGCCAAAUGUUGAAUAUUCAUUUGGGACUGUCCGAUUUUUUAUCAGACGGAAGUGGGGACGACGUCAGGUCAGCAUGGCCCUUAUAGCCUGGGCGACACACAUGCUACAAUGGAGCCGACAAUGGGUUUUGCCAAGCCGUAAGGCGGAGCUAAUCCCAUCAAACGGCUUCUCAGUGGGGAUUGAGGGCUGCAACUCGCCCUCAUGAACGCGGAAUUGGUAGUAAUCGCGGAUCAGCUAUGCCGCGGUGAAUACGUUCUCAGGUUUUGUACAAAUCACCGCCCGUCAAGUUAGUGAAGUUGGGGGCACCUGAACCUCGAUUGUAUCGGGGGAGGGUGACACCAGCGACAAGAAUUAAGUCGUAACAAGGUAUCCGUACUGGAAGGUGCGGAUGGAUCACCUCCUU
This 1056-nucleotide ribosomal RNA is filed under the name Candidatus Woesebacteria bacterium GW2011_GWF1_46_13. Its description in RNAcentral is "bacterial SSU rRNA". It matches the Rfam family "Bacterial small subunit ribosomal RNA", at positions 484 to 1532 of the family's 1533-position model. The record is from RNAcentral. Lineage: Bacteria; Candidatus Woeseibacteriota.